This 234-nucleotide ribosomal RNA is filed under the name uncultured bacterium. RNAcentral describes it as "partial 16S ribosomal RNA". It matches the Rfam family "Bacterial small subunit ribosomal RNA", at positions 96 to 334 of the family's 1533-position model. The record is from RNAcentral.
CGGCGAACGGGUGAGUAACGCGUGGAUUAUCUGCCCUGAGGUGGGGGAUAACCCGGGGAAACUCGGGCUAAUACCGCAUAUGACCGUGAGGUCAAAGGGGGGUCGCAAGAUCUCUCGCCAUAGGAGGAGUCCGCGUCCGAUUAGCUAGCUGGUAGGGUAAUGGCCUACCAAGGCGACGAUCGGUAGCCGGCCUGAGAGGGUGAUCGGCCACACUGGAACUGAGACACGGUCCAG